RNAcentral lists this ribosomal RNA (253 nucleotides) under uncultured bacterium. Its description in RNAcentral is "partial 16S ribosomal RNA". It matches the Rfam family "Bacterial small subunit ribosomal RNA", at positions 524 to 776 of the family's 1533-position model. The record is from RNAcentral.
UACAGAGGGUGCGAGCGUUGUCCGGAAUCACUGGGCGUAAAGGGCGCGUAGGCGGCUUGAUAAGCGUGCGGUGAAAGCCCGGGGCUCAACCCCGGGUCGGCCGUGCGAACUGUCGAGCUGGAGCACUGUAGAGGCAGGUGGAAUUCCGGGUGUAGCGGUGGAAUGCGUAGAGAUCCGGAAGAACACCGGUGGCGAAGGCGGCCUGCUGGGCCGUAACUGACGCUGAGGUGCGAAAGCGUGGGGAGCAAACAGG